CCCUGUCUCCAGCCCUACUGUGGACUGUACUGUGGAGUGGAUUAGGUUAGAGUGUCCUGUCUCCAGCCCUACUGUGGACUGUACUGUGGACUGUACUGUGGACUGUACUGUGGAGUGGAUUAGGUUAGGGUGCCCUGUCUCCAGCCCUACUAUGGACUGUACUGUGGAGUGGAUUAGGUUAGAGUGCCCUGUCUCCAGCCCUACUGUGGACUGUACUGUGGACUGUACUGUGGACUGUACUGUGGAGGGGAUUAGGUUAGAGUGCCCUGUCUCCAACCCUACUGUGGACUGUACUGUGGAGUGGAUUAGGUUAGAGUGC
Oncorhynchus tshawytscha (Chinook salmon) is the source of this 319-nucleotide long non-coding RNA. NCBI's taxonomy places the organism in Eukaryota, Metazoa, Chordata, Actinopteri, Salmoniformes, Salmonidae. The record is from Ensembl.